AGGCUUUGAUCCUGGCUCAGGACGAACGCUGGCGGCGUGCUUAACACAUGCAAGUCACGGGGGCCCGCAAGGGUAACCGGCGAACGGGUGCGUAACACGUGAGCAAUCUGCCGAUGUCUGGGGGAUAGCCGGGCCAACGCCCGGGUAAUACCGCAUACGCUUGUUGGGGGACCUCCCCUGGCAAGGAAACCUCCGGGGGACAUCGAGGAGCUCGCGGCCUAUCAGCUAGUUGGUGCGGUAACGGCGCACCAAGGCGACGACGGGUAGCUGGUCUGAGAGGAUGGCCAGCCACAUUGGGACUGCGACACGGCCCAGACUCCUACGGGAGGCAGCAGUGGGGAAUAUUGCGCAAUGGACGAAAGUCUGACGCAGCGACGCCGCGUGUGGGAUGACGCCUUUCGGGGUGUAAACCACUGUUGCCCGGGACGAACAUCCUCUUUCGAGAGGACUGACGGUACCKGGUGAGGAAGCACCGGCGUAAUCUGUG
This 487-nucleotide ribosomal RNA is filed under the name uncultured Gemmatimonas sp. Its description in RNAcentral is "bacterial SSU rRNA". It matches the Rfam family "Bacterial small subunit ribosomal RNA", at positions 8 to 507 of the family's 1533-position model. The record is from RNAcentral. Lineage: Bacteria; Pseudomonadati; Gemmatimonadota; Gemmatimonadia; Gemmatimonadales; Gemmatimonadaceae.